GGGCGAUUAGCUCAGUUGGUAGAGCAUCUCCCUUACAAGGAGGGGGUCACUGGUUCGAGCCCGGUAUCGCCCA
This is a transfer RNA of Morganella morganii subsp. morganii KT, 73 nucleotides long. It matches the Rfam family "tRNA". From Rfam's summary of the family: Transfer RNA (tRNA) molecules are approximately 80 nucleotides in length. Their secondary structure includes four short double-helical elements and three loops (D, anti-codon, and T loops). Further hydrogen bonds mediate the characteristic L-shaped molecular structure. tRNAs have two regions of fundamental functional importance: the anti-codon, which is responsible for specific mRNA codon recognition, and the 3' end, to which the tRNAs corresponding amino acid is attached (by aminoacyl-tRNA synthetases). tRNAs cope with the degeneracy of the genetic code in two manners: having more than one tRNA (with a specific anti-codon) for a particular amino acid; and 'wobble' base-pairing, i.e. permitting non-standard base-pairing at the 3rd anti-codon position. The record is from Rfam. Lineage: Bacteria; Pseudomonadati; Pseudomonadota; Gammaproteobacteria; Enterobacterales; Morganellaceae.